This 244-nucleotide ribosomal RNA is filed under the name uncultured bacterium. RNAcentral describes it as "partial 16S ribosomal RNA". It matches the Rfam family "Bacterial small subunit ribosomal RNA", at positions 553 to 793 of the family's 1533-position model. The record is from RNAcentral.
ACUGGGCGUAAAGCGCAUGCAGGCGGCCUGUUUAAGUCAGAUGUGAAAGCCCGGGGCUUAACCUCGGAAUUGCAUUUGAAACUGGCAGGCUAGAGUCUUGUAGAGGGGGUAGAAUUUCAGGUGUAGCGGUGAAAAUGCGUAGAGAUCUGAAGGAAUACCAGUGGCGAAGGCGGCCCCCCUGGACAAAGACUGACGCUCAGAUGCGAAAGCGUGGGGAGCAAACAGGAUUAGAUACCCCUGGUAG